RNAcentral lists this ribosomal RNA (1279 nucleotides) under Ruptitermes arboreus. RNAcentral's name for it is "16S ribosomal RNA". The stretch from base 836 to 1203 matches the Rfam family "Archaeal large subunit ribosomal RNA", at positions 2150 to 2716 of the family's 2987-position model. Lineage: Eukaryota; Metazoa; Arthropoda; Insecta; Blattodea; Termitidae. The record is from RNAcentral.
UAUUUUUUGUCUUGUUUUAGAUAUUGUUUGAUUGUAUUUGUUUUUCAUUAAUUGAAGUAUCAUUUAGUUGUUGUAUAUUUGUGAUUUAAUUCUUUUUGCUAUAGAUUAUUUGUACUGUAGGGGUUUGAUUUGUGUUAUUUUAUCUUUAGAAGCUGAUUUUAUUUAUUGUACCUUGUGUAUCAGGGUUCAUUGAAUUUUAUUAUUUAUUUUUGUUUCCCGAUUUUAAAGGAGUUAGUUGCUUAUUUUAGUUAGUGUUUCAUCAUUAUUAAUAAUAGGUAGCUGGUGAUGAAAUGUUAUUCGUCUUUGGUGGUUUCUGGUUUUUCAAGAAAUGAAUUUAAUUCAUGCUCUUUGUUUAAUGUUUACUUUUCUUUUAUUCUUUUUUAUUAGGCGCUAAGAUUAGGGGGGAUCAGCUCCCUAUUUUAUCUUUAUAAUUGUUGUCUGUUAUUUAGUUUUGUGGAUUUUAUAGUGAUUUUCAAUUUGAUUAUGUUAAAAUUUUAUUUGUUUUUUUGUUUAUUUACUUUUAAUUUAAUUUGUUUAUUGGAAUGUUUCCUUUAAUUUUCUUAUUGGAUAGUAAUUAUUGUGUAAUUAGUAAAUUUUCUUUUUAUACUGUUAUUUUUUGUGUGUUAAAUUCUUUUGAGGAAUUAGGCAAAUAUUUCAUUCGCCUGUUUAACAAAAACAUCUCUUCUUGUUAGUUUUUGAAGUAUGGCCUGCCCACUGACGUUUUGUUGAAGGGCCGCGGUAUUUUGACCGUGCAAAGGUAGCAUAAUCAUUAGUUCUUUAAUUGUGAUCUGGUAUGAAUGGCUUGACGAGGCAUANNNNNNNNNNNNNNNNNUUUUUAUGGGACGAGAAGACCCUAUAGAGUUUAACAUUUUAUUCGCUUUUUCUAUUUGUUUGUUUGGAUAUUAUUAAGUGAUUUAAGUGUUUUGUUGGGGUGAUGGGAGGAAUUUAUUUAACUCCUCUGUUUAUUUGUUUACUUAUUUGUAGUUUUUGAUCCAUUUAUUUUGAUUACAAGAUUAAAUUACCUUAGGGAUAACAGCGUUAUCUUCCUUGAGAGUUCUUAUUGGCGGGAAGGUUUGCGACCUCGAUGUUGGAUUAAGGUUAAUUUUUGGUGUAGCAGCUGAAUUGAUUAGGUCUGUUCGACCUUUAAAAUCUUACAUGAUCUGAGUUCAGACCGGCGUGAGCCAGGUUGGUUUCUAUCUAUAAUGUUGUUUUAUACCUUAGUACGAGAGGACCGGGUAUUUGGAAUAAUUUUAUUUUUGUGAUUAUUAUUAAUGUUGUU